AGCAAUCCUCACAUGUCAGCCCCCUGAGUAGCUGGGACUACAGGCAUGUACCACUAUGUCCGGCUAAUGUUUGUAUUUUUUGUAGAGAUGGGGUUUCGCCAUGUUGCCAAGGCUGCUCUCGAACUCCUGGGCUCAAGGGAUUCAUCUGCCUCAGCCUCCCAAAGUGCUGGGAUUACAGGUGUGAGCCUGGCCCACAUUCCUAUGAAUGGGGUCUUCUGUGCAAAGAAUGACUAUCCCUCUGCUUCAGGAUGUCCUGCAAACACAGCCAAUCUGCCUCAGCUGUCACAGCAGGGGGCUAAAGGGCAGGGCCCAUGAUUCAGAAGGAAUUCAGCAGAGACAAGAGUGGGCGGAUGUGGUGGCCGCUGAAUGGCAGGAGAUAAUGGGUCCAAGGAUGCAGCGUUGGUUGAGCUAUCAGUGACUGAGGAAUGAUUAAUGAAACAUGUAAACAUUCCCCAGAGAAUUCCCAGAAAUACACAGAGAGCAGGACUUGGUAACAGACUUUCCUCUCUGAAGACAAGUAAACUGCAUAUUAAAGCGGACUGUGACCUCAUAGACUGAUGAAAUUUGAAACACUUAAGCUACAUAUGCUGCUUCUGGGUUAUGUGUUCUGUGUCAUAUCUUAGCUUCCUUUUUCAGACAAUACAUCUUUGAUGAUCGAAAACAACAACAACCUGAUACAGUUCCUUGCAGUUCUAAAAGCCCAAUAGUCCAGAAUACAAAGUCUCUAUUAUGUUCUUCUCUGGAUAAAAGAACUUGUGGACUUUAUAACAUAAUCCAAGAAUGAAGAAAAAAAAAACAACCAAAACCUACCUUUAGGAACAAAGAGGGCACAUAGCAGGAAGCUGAAAUACAGAACGUCUUCUGAGAACACAGAGAACAUUUAGCAAAAAGUGGAAAAUCUGACAACACUGUACAGUCGCAGUCUUCCUCUCCAUAACAAUAAUUUUUUCUCCUCUCACUAAAAUAGAGCAAUUUUUAUUGUCACAAGCCCAUGUGUAUUACUGGCAAUAGGGAUAUAGCUGUAUAGGACACCUCCUUAAACAUCUCCUUUAUUUUAAGAUUCAGUUAGGGGGAAAUGACUAGUUUCCCAGCACUUUCUGGUUACCAUGGAUACCUGUCAUCCACAUCCAGAGCCUGCAGGUUACACUCAGGGACUCUUGCCAGCUCAUGAAUAAUAUCGCUGAAGCCCGCUGCCGCUGCGAUAUGUACACAUGUCUUCCCACUCUCAUCAUCAUAGUUGAUUAUGGACGGCCCCUGGUGAUGGCUCAGAAUGAUGGAGCACAGAAUCCUAUUUCCACUCUGGAAAAGAGAGUCAAAGAAAGCCCAUUAUGUACAAUCCAGUGUUCUUCUCUGUCUAGGCAUGUUAAGAUAAAAAUACAAAGGAAAAAAAGGAAAGAAAGAAAGAAAGAAAAAAGAUGAAAAGAGAAAAGGAAAUGGAAAAAAAAGAAUAAAAAUACACUCUAUCUAAGCUCUCCAACAAGUGUCCACUUGUCUCAAGUCACUGCAGAGAUUUUUGUCUCCCACAGGAGCUAAAUUGUCUUCCAUAACUAGUGAACGAAGGAUGGAUUGAAAUUAAAUACAGGUGCAAUGGACUGACGUCAGAGCUAGAGUGAUCGGUGGGCCACCUAGACAACAACUUGCUCAUUAGGUCUGAUCAUUUGUGUCCCCAUUUGCUGUAGAGGCUGACCACCAAGAAACUGACAGAGUUCAUCUUAAUGUUAAAGAAGUGACUAUGAUGAGUACUGAUUGGUGGCGCAGUGAUGCACUUAAAAAGCUUGUUUCGGGGUAGGGCCAAGGAGCAGGGGGCUGAGAAUUUGUCCCAGGGAGCCUGGGAAGCAGAACUGUCUGAGCAGAGGCUACAGUCUUGUAUCAGACUUCGUUUACAAAAACAAUUAAAAGAUAAAGUGAGAAUUUCCAGAUGGGGACUACAGAACAUUAUGCCUUAAGCACAGGGUCCCAUCUGAGUACCAGACCCUCUGUGGCUGCACUGGUUACAUAUCCAUAAAGCAAUCUCUGGCUACAAACUUUUUCUUUCUCUUCCUAUCAUCUUCCCUUUUGCGUCUUCUUCCUCCAUCCAUCUUUCCUUUGUCUAACAAUGAUUUUAAAUAACUUUGACCCAUUGUUUAUAUUCUAUGGCAUGCCUGUCCUUAGAAGUCAGCUAAAGCUUACUUAGGUGACUUAGAAGUCACCUAAAGUUUAGGUGAGCACACCUAAGCUUUCAUGCCUUUAUCAACUUUUCUAUGUUUGUUUCACUUCAUGCUAGUUAGACAUACAUCGAAGGAGUCUGAAAUACAUUUUAGAUAGUCAAGAGACACUUUUCUUUAAAAGCAGUAGCCAUUCAAUAAGGAAAAUAGAAGCAAAAAGAGUGUCAGCACAACAAUUCUUUUUUGUUUACAAUUUCCUGGAAGAGUAAAGGAAUUCAAGCUGUCAAGGUGGUUCAAAGGCCAAAACACCCUGUUCAUAGUUUCCCCUCUUGGUAGAAGAAGAAGCAUUAAGUGCAGAUGGAGAAAACAAAACCCCACACUCGUACUCUCUUCCUUUCGCCUCCCUCGCCCCUGGGGUGGAGUCAUUCUGGAAGUGGUAAACUGAAAUAGAGGCUGCUGCUUCUGGGAUCCUGCCAGCCAGUCCCAGGCAGCAGGUCUCUUGGUAGCUGGGGUACUGUUGACAGCCUCUCUGGAUAAGUAAAGACAGACUCCAUACCUUUACUCUUUUCCUUUUGUCCUAAAUUCUCCAAACAAUUCCUUUGUCUCUAUACCUGAAUCUCACUUAUAGCACCAUUGUUUGUAUUUUACUUUUCUUUGUAAGAAGAUCCUCCCAGGAAGAAUGGUGACAACUGUAUUUACUGUGUGAUCGUCUGGGCCUGGCACCUUUCUAAGCCAUUUCAUGUACUAACUCAUGAACAACAAUCCCACAAGGUUGGUACUAUUAUUGUCCUCAUAUUGUACAGGAGACAAUGAAGGCAUAAGGGAUUAAGAAAUUUGCCCUCUGUCACGGCUGAGAAUGAGCAGAUCCAGGAUUGACUGUGGAGGCAUUGGACUUCACCACUAUACUAUUCUGUCUGUGAUUAAAAAGAAUGGUCUAUUAAUUUGAUCCUGCAUGUUCAUACUGGAGGAACUAAAGUGAAAACUGUUUAGACCUACAUCAGUACCAGUGACGUGUGCCUCACCAACUGAGACCUCCUUUACAGUUAAUCUUUGGGUACUUUAAGAGUUUCUCCUAGUAAGGUUUCCAUGGUGCACCCUCAGGAGAAUUUCAGGGAGCCUUAGAAAACACUAGUUUGUAAGUCAAGGCCCUGGAUCACUUGCCUCCUGGUGACAGAAUUCCCUUCUUAACAAUCUAGACUGUGUGUCAGCCAAAAAUAUGCUUAGGCCUGGGAGGUAGGGAAAGUCACAGAGACCAGGAGACACUAGACAAGAAGAAAUGGGACUGUGGUCCAGGUGGGUCCUUAGGAAGAAUCGAGAGUAGGUUUACAUUGGGUAGAAAUGUUAUUAAAUAGGGAAAGAAACAGUAUUGUACAUAUCCUAUUCUUAAGGAGCUCUAGAAUUCUACACUGAGCUGCCAGAUGAUGAUUGUGAGUUUGUUUUUGUUGUAUUUAUUUGUUUUUGUUCAUGAGUAAUCCAUAACAUUGCCUUCAUGUAUUCUGAAAAUGAUUGGGAACUGAGUCCUAGUCGUUUUCUCUUUACCUGUCAUGAGUGGGGAGAGUUGGGGAAGCCUGACUCAUAAGAAGACUUGCCAAGAAGAAAGUCGAGUUAAUGUGUAAUAAUUUUGCUACGGGCAGAUUGAUAAAACAACAACAACAACAAUAAGAUCUCAAUAUCCUAACUGUAGACAUUCUAGGUGACCUUCAAAGGAGUCUAGUGGGCGAUUUAAGACUAGUUGCUUAUUUGCUAACAUAUGUCUAAGGAAUAUGUUCUAUGGUGGUUUCUUCUUGGCAGGAACUCCAAUCUCCUUCCUUCUCUUGAACACUGGGAUGUGUUUGCAUUGCUUGUCUUGUGAUGGUGACCAUAUAAAGCAGAGGCCAGUGCUUUAGCCUCUGUGUUGCAGCCGCUUAUCCCUCCUAAAAAGCUGGGAGGUUUUGUGAUGUGAGAAGAUGAUCCUGGCUCAUCGGUUGGAGCCAGACAUGUUAGACUAGAAUGGAGACAAAAGGAACAUCUAGAGUCUAUUCCAUGUGAAUGUUUGAGGGUUGAGGGUCUGGGGCUAACUAGAGAAAGAAACGUGCCUAAUAUCCCUGGCUUAGAAUCUGGACUGCCUUCAUGGUUAGCCCCUUUGGACCAAGCUUUUAGUUGGCCUGGACUCCAGAGGCUGCCAAGCCCAAAAGCCUGGGGCUGCCUCUUCUGGAGAGAGAGCAGAAGAUAGAAAUAGUGGGAGGGGGAAAAGGUACCUUUUUUUAAUAUACCAGAGCACUCUGUUCUUCUUAAUAAAGUCUGUCCUCCGGAGAAACUAGUUAACCAGAGCCUAAUCUACUGAGGUUUUAUCAGAGCCUAAUUGACCUUAGGGAAGAAAAGUGUUCAACUCCAUCUAGCUCUAGCUUUCCACAUGGGAGCAGAACAAUACCCAACUCCAGCCCACUCUAGCUAUCCUGUCCCACCUAAGAAGGGGAAAAAACAUCCUGAGAAUCACUUGGAAUAUUCACAUUCCAGAGGCAUAGGUUCACUAAAAGACAGGGACCAAAUCAUAGGACGAUAUAGUACAUUUCUCUUCCCCCCAUACUUCACCAUUACAUUACUAAAGCGCUAUUUACAGGAGUUCCUCUUACCCACUACAUCAUGUCUGGCUAUCGAGAAAAAAUUAUAAAGCAUGCCAAAAGGUGAAUAACACAAUAUCUACAGAGCAAGCAUCAGUUCCAGACAUGGCAGGGAUAUGGGAAUUAUCAGAUAAAUAAUUUAAAGCAACUAUGAUUAAUGUGCUAAGGGCUGUAAAUGGAUAAAGUGGACAACAUGUCAGAACAGAUGGGCGAUGUAAGCAGGAAGAUGGAGAUCCUAAGAGAGAACAAAUAAUAAAUGCUGGAGAUAAAAAACACUGUAAUGGAAAUGAAGAAUGCCUUUGAUGAGCUUAUCAGUAGAUUGGACACAGCUGAGGGAAGAGUCUCUGCGCUUGAGAAGAUCUCAAUGUAAACCUCCAAAACUGGAAAACAAAAAGAACAAAGACUGAAAAAAACAGAACAGAAUAUUCACAGACUGUGAGAGAACUACAAAAGGUGUAACAUACAGGCAAUAGGAAUACCAGAAGGAGAAGAGAAAAAGGAACAGGAUAAAUAUUUGAAACAAUAAUAACAACUGAGAAUUUUACCAAAAAAAUUGUUAGACACAAAAGCUCAGAGAACACCAAGCACGAUAAAUGCCAAAAACAACAAAAAAAAACAACAAAACAAACAAAAAACCCUAUGCCUAGGCAUAUUAUUUUCCAAUUACAGAAAACCAAAGAUAAAGAAAAAGUCCAGAAGGAAGCCAGAGGAAAAGAACACCUUACCUAUAGAGGAGCAAAGAGAAGGAUUACCUCUGAUUUCUCAGAAACCAUACAAGCAAGAAGAGACUGGAGUGAAAUACUUAAAGAGUUGAGAAAAGCCUCCCAUCAACAAGAAUUCUGUACCUUAUGAAACUGUCCUUCAAAAGUGAAGGAGCAAUAAAUACUUUCUUAGAUAAACAAAAAUUGAGGGAAUUUGUUACUGGUAGACCUGCAUUGUACUAGAUGUUAAAAGUAGUUUCUUGACGGGUGCGGUGGCUCAUGCCUGUAAUCCCAGCAUUUUGGGAGGCUGAGGCAGGUGGAUCACCUGAGAUCAGGAGUUCGAGACCAGCCUGAUCAAUAUGGAGAAACCCCGUCUCUGCUAAAAAUACAAAAAUUAGCCGGGUGUGGUGGUGCGUGCCUGUGAUCCCAGCUACUCGGAAGGCUGAGACAGGAGAAUCGCUUGAACCCGGGAGGCAGAGGUUGCAGUGAGCCGAGAUCGCGCCAUUGCACUCCAGCCUGGGCAACAGAGCAAGACUCCGUCUCAAAAAAAAAAAAAAAAAAAAAAAAAAAAGUAGUUUCUUAGAAGAGAAGAAAAAUGAUAUAGGCCAGAAACUCUGAUUUACGUAAAGAAAAGAAGAACGCUGAAGAAGGAAUAAGUGAAGGUAAAAUAAAAACUUUUAUUUUUUAUUGUUAAUUAACCUAGGAGAUAAUAGUUUGUUCAAAUUACUAACAGCUACAAUGUAUGCUAAUGCAUCUAUCUUUAUAUCUAUAUACAUAUAUAUAAGCUUAUGUAUGCUUAUAUAUAAGUAAAAUGAAUGACAGCAAUCAUACUAGGGACAGGUGGAAGGAAUUAGAAUCAUUUAGUUAUUAUAAAGUAUUCGCACUACCCAUGAAGUGGUAUAGUGUUAUUUUGAAGUGGAUUUCGAUUAGUUGUAAACAUACUUGGUAUACUCUAGGGCAAUCACUAAAAAAGUAAAAAAGGAAGUAUAACUAAUAUGCUAAGAAAAGAGAGAAAAUAGAAUAAUACAAAAUGCUAAUUAAAACCACAAAAGGUGGAAGAAGAGUAGAAGACAAAAAUAGGAACAAAGAAUAAGGGCAUGGGCGGAUCACAAGGUCAGGAGAUCGAGACCAUCCUGGCUAACACGGUGAAACCCUGUCUCUACUUAAAAUACAAAAAAAAAAAAAAAAAUUAGCUGGGUGUGGUGGCGGGCGCCUGUAGUCCCAACUACUCAGGAGGCUGAGGCAGGAGAAUGGCGUGAACCUGAGAGGCGGAGCUUGCAGUGAGCAGAGAUCGCGCCACUGCACUCCUGCCUGGGUGACAGAAUGAGACUCUAUCUAAAAAAAAAAAAAAAAAAAGAAUAAGGGCAGCAAAUAGAAAACAGUAACAAAUAUGAUCGAUGUUACUCUAACUAUAUGAAUAAUCACUCUGAACAUCAAUGGUCUAAAUGUACCAAUCAAAAGACAGAGAUUGUCAGGGUGGAUAGAAAAAUAAGACCCAACUAUAUGUUGUCUAUAAGAAACCCACUUUAAAUAUAAUGACACAUAUAGAUUAAAAGUGAAUGAGUGGUGAAAGAUUUACCAUGAAAACACUAACCAAAAGAAAGCAGGAGUAGCUAUAUAUUAUAAUUCUAGACAGUGCAGACUACAAAACAAAGAAAGUUGUUAGGGAUAAAGAAGGGUAUUACAUAAUGAUAAAGAGGUCAGUUCUCCAAGAAGACAUAACGAUCCUUAUGUACCGAACAACACAGCCUCAAAAUAUGCGAGGCAAAACCUGAUAAAGCUGCAAGAAGAAACAGAUGAGUCCGCUUUAUAGUUGAAGACUUCAACAUCCCUCUAUCAGAAAUGGACAGAUCCAGAAAGCAGAAAAUCAGUAGGAAUAUAGUUGAACUUAAAAAUACAAUUAAUUGGCCGGGCACGAUGGCUCAUGCCUGUAAUCCCAGCACUUUGGGAGGCUGAGGUGGGCAGAUCACAAGGUCGGGAGUUCGAGACCAGCCUAGCCAACAUGGUGAAACCCCAUCUCUACUAAAAAUACAAAAACUAGCUGGGCAUGGUGGUGCAUGCCUGUAAUCCCAGCUACUGGGGAGACUGAGGUAGGAGAAUGGCUUGAACCUAGGAGGCGGAGGUUGUA
RNAcentral lists this long non-coding RNA (7573 nucleotides) under Homo sapiens (human). RNAcentral's name for it is "HSALNT0088045". The record is from RNAcentral. Lineage: Eukaryota; Metazoa; Chordata; Mammalia; Primates; Hominidae.